UUGCAGUUAACAAACUAUCUGAUAAACCUGUGUGUGAGUCAGAUAUGUCUGCUGCUAAUCUAUUGGUUAUAAAAUAUCACAGCCUUUUCUGAUUGGCUGAGUUCAAAUACAGAAAGUUUACCUGUUAGAUUGAAAUUCUGGCGUAUUGCAGAAAAUAUGCAGGUUAAACUUGUUGUUAAAAUGAAGUUAAUGUAAUGUUCACAAACAGUAGAGUUAAUGAGAUUUUCCAUUAACAAGAAUUUCUUAAAAUUAUAAUGUAUGGAUAUCAUUUGGAAAGUGACAUGAAAUGUUGUUAAAAAGUGAUGCAUACAAGUGUUUCAGAAGUCUGUCUAGGAAUAGAACAACAACUGAAGCUGACCAGUUGAUGGAAGAUACUGCAGAGUUUGGCAGGGAAAUAACCCAAGACAGCAAAGCGGCUCUUUUGGCGCAUUUACCAAGAGGACUAACAUGGCCACAAAUUCAUGAGAUCAUGCAGGAGCCGUACAGUAUAACAGCAGUACAAGUUCUAUAAAAGAUCCACGACCUACUGAAGCCUAGCUAAUUAACAAAAAAGUUUUUAAAAACUGUAAUUUUAUCCCACCUGGGUACUUAUAAUUUACUAAGCUGCCUUCACAAGUUUUAGACUUGCAAUUAUAUUUUAAACUGUCACUUGGAAAGUAAUACAUGUACAUGCAUUAUGUUCUGAAUUUCU
Molecule: long non-coding RNA, 691 nt
Organism: Dreissena polymorpha
Lineage: Eukaryota; Metazoa; Mollusca; Bivalvia; Myida; Dreissenidae
Exons: 3
Source: RefSeq, a predicted model, not a curated record